CUGUCUCUGGCUGUCCCAUCCUGGCACGGAUUUAGGGCUGGAAAGGAGGAAGCUCCAGGGGAGUGGGUGUGGGAGUUAUUUCAGCUGGGAGGGGACCCAGGAGGGCAGAACUUCCUCCUUCCAGACAAGCCUGGCGAGCUCUGCCACAACUGGGCCGAGACUCCGGGCUCGUGCUUGACCUAGAAUCGGAGCCAAGCUCCCUCCCCAAAGCACCCAGCCCGUUUGGGAACUCCUGACCCCAAAACACUCGAGGUGAACUCCCCUUUCUCUUUCUCUCUGCACUGCUGAGCACCUUUCCCGCAGCCAGGAGCGAUCUCACCCCUCACACGGAGCUUUCCCAGGAUUUUCUCCACCAGAAAUGUGCGAGGACAUGGAAAAACGAAAGGAAAGUCGCUUCCCAAAGGCCACCCGGACCCUUUGGAGCUCACCCGGACCCUUUGGAGCUCUCCAGGGACGCGGUGGCUGCAGCUCUGCCCUCCCCUCAUUCAUGGUUUCACUCCGCAGCCUGCAGCAAGUGCAGGACUGGGGGUGUUUUAAUUCAGCUCAAGCACAACAUUGAUUGGAGUUUGGAAAACAGCCUGGAAGUGCCUCCUCGUGGAGCUAAUUCGGGGCUUGCAUCUCCUCGGAGCCCUGGGGCUCGCAUUUUGAUGAGCUCCCUCCCGGGAGAGGAGCUGCAUUUCUGUGGAAGCAGGAGGGAUCUGUGCGUUCCUGUGCUGACUAAACCCACCCACGCCUCGGGGCUUAUUUGCAAGCAGAUCCUGCAUGGUUUGUGUCAGUCCUGAUGGAAGGGACUGAUAUUCCCGGGAGCUGGCAUCCCGAUAUUCCUGGGAGCAUCCUCGGUGUGGCUGUGGGGAGGGUUUGGGUUAAUUUUUGUCACCUUGGUGGCUGCAGAGGUGGGGAGGGCAUUGCUGAGCCGUUUUUGGGGUGGGAAUUGGAGCCCUGGAGAGCUGGAGAGGGGGAUGGAGCGGUGAGUUCAGGUCUCCCAGCUCCCUGGAUCUCCUUGAUCUCCAGAUAAAGAUCUGGAAUGUGGCCCAGGAAAAGCUUUGUCAGUGGU
Molecule: long non-coding RNA, 1054 nt
Filed under: Cyanistes caeruleus (blue tit)
Lineage: Eukaryota; Metazoa; Chordata; Aves; Passeriformes; Paridae
Description: lncRNA (ENSCCEG00000017675.1)
Source: RNAcentral